AAACCUUCAUGGUGUGACUUAUUAAUUUGAUACCCCUAUAAUUGUUGCAGCACUGGAUGUCCCCUUUGUUCUUGUACAAGGGCACCACUGUACUCCAUAUCCACUCAUCCGGCAUCCUUUUGGUCCUGAAGAUCGCAUUGAACAACCUGGAUAGCCACUCCCCCCCAGACUUACUCAUGCACUUCCAGAACUCCACCGGGAUCUCGUCCGGCCCGGUCGCUCGACCCCUAAUCAUCCUACGCAAAGCUCCCAUGACCUCCUCCUUCCUAAUGCGCCUGCAGUACCCAAGGUCCCUAUGACGCUCUGAAUGCCCCAGCUCCCCUAGCUCUAUGUUACGAUCCCCCACCUCGUUAAGUAAGUNNN
This 363-nucleotide long non-coding RNA is filed under the name Nicotiana benthamiana. RNAcentral describes it as "long non-coding RNA (NBEN_LNC012826)". Lineage: Eukaryota; Viridiplantae; Streptophyta; Magnoliopsida; Solanales; Solanaceae. The record is from RNAcentral.